This 790-nucleotide ribosomal RNA is filed under the name uncultured archaeon. RNAcentral's name for it is "bacterial SSU rRNA". It matches the Rfam family "Archaeal small subunit ribosomal RNA", at positions 85 to 879 of the family's 1478-position model. The record is from RNAcentral.
ACGGCUCAGUAACACGUAGUCAACAUACCCAAAGGACGUGGAUAACCUCGGGAAACUGAGGAUAAACCGCGAUAGGUCAUAAGUACUGGAAUGUUUUAUGGCUCAAAUCUACAUGGCCUCUGGAUUGGACUGCGGCCGAUCAGGCUGUUGGUGAGGUAAUGGCCCACCAAACCUGUUACCGGUACGGGCUCUGAGAGGAGGAGCCCGGAGAUGGGCACUGAGACAAGGGCCCAGGCCCUAUGGGGCGCAGCAGGCGCGAAACCUCUGCAAUAGGCGAAAGCUUGACAGGGUUACUCUGAGUGAUUCCCGCUAAGGGAAUCUUUUGGCAUCUCUAAAAACGAUGCAGAAUAAGGGGUGGGCAAGUCUGGUGUCAGCCGCCGCGGUAAUACCAGCACCCCGAGUGGUCGGGACGAUUAUUGGGCCUAAAGCAUCCGUAGCCGGUCUUGCAAGUCUUCCGUUAAAUCCACCUGCUUAACAGAUGGGCUGCGGAAGAUACUACAAGACUAGGAGGCGGGAGAGGCAAGCGGUACUCAGUGGGUAGGGGUAAAAUCCUCUGAUCCAUUGAAGACCACCAGUGGCGAAGGCGGCUUGCCAGAACGCGCUCGACGGUGAGGGAUGAAAGCUGGGGGAGCAAACCGGAUUAGAUACCCGGGUAGUCCCAGCUGUAAACGAUGCAGACUCGGUGAUGGGCCGGCUUCAUGCCGGCUCAGUGCCGCAGGGAAGCCGUUAAGUCUGCCGCCUGGGGAGUACGGUCGCAAGACUGAAACUUAAAGGAAUUGGCGGGGAGCAC